This is an RNA transcript of Erigeron canadensis, 706 nucleotides long. RefSeq lists it as uncharacterized. The transcript has 3 exons. NCBI's taxonomy places the organism in Eukaryota, Viridiplantae, Streptophyta, Magnoliopsida, Asterales, Asteraceae. The record is from RefSeq and is a predicted model, not a curated record.
UGUCUUUCAUUUGAAGCAUAUAUGCAUGUGAAUUAGAUGUCAAAAAAGGUUUUCCUAAUUUCCUACUUUUGAUCUGUGUAAAGUUCCUAUUAAACGGAAGAGGUGUGCAUUUGGCUCAGUGUAGAAUCUGUUUACAUGACGCCUUGAUCAUGAAGUUUAAACUGUUGUUAGUUAUCAAAGCAACUCACAAGGUGGAAGUUUACUUCUAGAGCCGAAAUAAACAUGGUCAUGAUCCUCUUGUUUAAGACACCUCUAAGGAAACUAGCAAUGUUUGUGUUGGAUCGUUUGAAAGAGGGCCGAGGUCCCAUAUUGUCGACUAUAGGCGUGACAUUGUUUGCAGUCUUGAUGUCAAGUUUGUACAGUAUAAUGAGGAUUCAAAAGCGUUCCAUGGAAACCGGAGUGGUUAAUUCAAAUGACCACGUUCUUUUGGCUAAUCAUAUUCUUGAUGCAUCGCUCAUGGGUUGUAGUCUGUUUCUCGGGUUGAUGAUAGAUAGACUUCAUUAUUACGUUAAGAGAUUCGACAAUUCUGAACAUAUUAAAACCUACUUCAAAACUAGGAAAGCUGACGAGACGACCGAAUCAGAUUGAAUCAGUUUGAAUCAAAUUGAUGUAUAUAUCUAGAUGAACAAAAAUUAUAUGAAAUUGUUGAAAUGUUAAUGUAUUUUCAGAAUUUGUAUCUAGUGCAUUUAGUACCGUACGUAUUUGA